GAGCAGUAGACUAGCCCACAACAAAGCGGUCACCUUGGCAACGCGGCGACUAAGCAACAUCUUCCGCACCGUUUUACAGAACUGGGAUGGAGAGAAGACAGGGAAGGAGAGAGCAAAAGACAGUGACAGUGAUCAAAUGGGAUUCCACGUUGAAGAUCAUAAAAGUCAUAUAACCACAUGUUAAACCAAAAGGGAGCUGGGUUCUCUUCCCCUUUAAGCCAGUGUGCUGAUGCAUGGUAACAUCACAACAGUGACAGGAGGCAGGCUGAAGGAAGGAGGCUGUGGGAACUCCAGGGUUGUGACAGCAUCUGGUUGCAGCAGCGGCCAUGGCAGCCUGCGGUCUCCACCGACAACAAGUCCAACACAAUGGAGUGUUUAUGGGGAGCUGUGCCGCCCCAGAGGGACUAAGCAGCUCAAUUAAAACAACACUCAACCUUCUGUGGUUGUGGUAUUAAUCUCCACCAGGGCAACCCAAAAACGAGGAUUUGAAGGGUGGGGGCCCUUGGCACAAGGGGGACGCAUGGUUCCGUGUGUGCUUGUGCGUUUGGGAUGUGUGUGCGCACCUAUGUGUGUUUGUAUUUGGAUAUAUCUGUGAAAACAAAUCCAUCACAUAAAAGUGUUCUUUCUUUGUUAA
Long non-coding RNA from Gadus morhua (Atlantic cod), 634 nucleotides. RefSeq lists it as uncharacterized. The record is from RefSeq and is a predicted model, not a curated record. The transcript has 2 exons. NCBI's taxonomy places the organism in Eukaryota, Metazoa, Chordata, Actinopteri, Gadiformes, Gadidae.